UACGGGGGGGGCAAGCGUUGUUCGGAAUUACUGGGCGUAAAGGGCGCGUAGGCGGUCUGCUAAGUUGGAUGUGAAAACUCUGGGCUUAACCCAGAGCCUGCAUUCAAUACUGACAGGCUAGAGUUCUGGAGGGGAUAGCGGAAUUCCUGGUGUAGCGGUGAAAUGCGCAGAUAUCAGGAAGAACACCCGUGGCUAAGGCGGCUCUCUAGUACGGUACUGACGCUGAGACGCGAAAGCGUGGGGAGCGAACAGG
Molecule: ribosomal RNA, 253 nt
Filed under: uncultured bacterium
Lineage: Bacteria
Description: partial 16S ribosomal RNA
Rfam family: Bacterial small subunit ribosomal RNA
Source: RNAcentral